This 963-nucleotide long non-coding RNA is filed under the name Marmota monax (woodchuck). The record is from RNAcentral. Lineage: Eukaryota; Metazoa; Chordata; Mammalia; Rodentia; Sciuridae.
AAAGUGAAGCAGGAAGCAUCACAAUACCAGAUCUUAAAUUAUACUACAGAGGUACUGUAACAAAAACAGCAUGGUAUUGGCAUCAAAACAUAGAGACCAAUGGUACAAAAUAGAAGACACAGAGACAAACCACAUAAAUACAGUUGUCUCAUACUAGACAAAGGUGCCUAAAAAAUACACCCGAGAAAAGAUAGCCUCUUCAACAGAUGGUGCUGGGAAAACUGGAAAUCCAUAUAUAGCAAAAUGAAAUUAAACCUCUAUCUCUCACCCUGCACAAAAAUCAAUUUAAAGUGGAUCAAGGACUUAGGCACUAGAACAGAGACCCUGAGCCUAAUAGAAUAAAAAUAGCCCCAAAUCUACCAUGUCAGAUUAGGAACUGACUUCCUUACCAAGACUCCGAAAGUGUGAGAAGUAAAAUCAAGAAUCAAUAAAUGGGAUGGAAUAAAACUAAAAAGCUUCUUAUCAGCAAAGGAAAUAAUUGAUAACUUUAUUAUGGUUUGAAUGUGAGGUGUCCCCCAAAAGCUCAUGUGUGAGACAAUGCAAGAAAGUUCAGAGAAGAAAUGAUUGGUUGUGAGAGUCUUAACCCAAUCAGAAUUAAUCCCCCAAUGGGGAUUAACUGAGUGGUAAUUGAAGUGGUAGGGUGUGGCUGGAGGAAGUGGUUCGUUGAGGGUAUGGCUAUGGGGUAUAUAUUUUGUACCUGGAGAGUGGAGUUUUUCUCUCUCUGCUUCCUGAUCACCAUGUGAGCUGCUUCACUCUGCCUCACUCUUCUGCCAUGAUGUCCUGCCUCACCUUGAGCCCUGAGGAAUGGAGAUAGCUUCUUAGGAACUGAGACCUCUGAAAUAAACCUUUCUUCCUCUACAGUUGUUCUUGUUGGGUCUUUUAGUCACACAAAAAAUCUGACUAAAACAAACAUGAAGAGAAAGCCUAUAGAAUGGAAGAAAAUCUUUACCACAUACACCUCAG